UGGAAACGGUAUUGGAUUUUUGGAAACUAGAUUGGAUUUUUGAAAAUUAGAUUGGAUUUUUGGAAACUGGGUCGGACUUGUGGACGCAAUUUCGGACCCUGGAUCGAAUUUUCGGACACUGGAUCACAGUUUUGAACACUGAGCACUGGAUCGCAGUUUGGGACACUGGAUCGCAGUUUGGGACAUUGGAUCGCAGUUUGGGGCACUUGAAUUGGAUUUUUGGGAAUUUGGAUCAGCGAGUUGUGUAUACGCCUGAACGCUGUACAUACUUAGAAAUAUACAGUAGCGUGCCCGGCGUCUCUGGAUCAGACCUUUGGUAACUAUUUUUUUUCCUUCAGAAUAGACAGCAAGAGCAUUGAAUUGACUGGAAUUUGGAUACAGAAAGCAUUGAAAUGGCUGGAAUUCGGAUAGUGAAAGCCUGGCUCCGACCGGAGUUUGGAUAGUGAAAGCCUGGCUCCGACCGGAGUUUGGAUAGUGAAAGCCUGGCUCCGACCGGAGUUUGGAUAGUGAAAGCUUGAAAAUGACUGGAAUUUGGAUAGCGAUAGCCUGGCCCUGGCUGGAAUUUGGGUAGCGAAAGCCUGGCCCUGACUGGAAUUUGGAUAAAAAAAGCUUUGAAAUGACUAGAAUUUGGAUAAAGAAAGCUUUGAAAUGACUAGAAUUUGGAUAAAGAAAGCUUUGAAAUGACUAGAAUUUGGAUAAAGAAAGCUUUGAAAUGACUGGAAUUUGGAUACAGAAAGCUUUGAAAUGCCUGGAAUU
Long non-coding RNA from Macrobrachium nipponense, 756 nucleotides. RefSeq lists it as uncharacterized. The transcript has 3 exons. The record is from RefSeq and is a predicted model, not a curated record. NCBI's taxonomy places the organism in Eukaryota, Metazoa, Arthropoda, Malacostraca, Decapoda, Palaemonidae.